AAAGAUUUAUCGGUGAUGGAUGGGGAUGCGUCUGAUUAGCUUGUUGGCGGGGUAACGGCCCACCAAGGCAACGAUCAGUAGGGGUUCUGAGAGGAAGGUCCCCCACAUUGGAACUGAGACACGGUCCAAACUCCUACGGGAGGCAGCAGUGAGGAAUAUUGGUCAAUGGACGAGAGUCUGAACCAGCCAAGUAGCGUGCAGGAUGACGGCCCUAUGGGUUGUAAACUGCUUUUAUAAGGGAAUAAAGUGAGUCUCGUGAGACUUUUUGCAUGUACCUUAUGAAUAAGGACCGGCUAAUUCCGUGCCAGCAGCCGCGGUAAUACGGAAGGUCCGAGCGUUAUCCGGAUUUAUUGGGUUUAAAGGGAGCGUAGGCCGGAGAUUAAGCGUGUUGUGAAAUGUAGACGCUCAACGUCUGCACUGCAGCGCGAACUGGUUUCCUUGAGUACGCACAAAGUGGGCGGAAUUCGUGGUGUAGCGGUGAAAUGCUUAGAUAUCACGAAGAACUCCGAUUGCGAAAGGCAGCUCACUGGAGCGCAACUGACGCUGAAGCUCGAAAGUGCGGGUAUCGAACAGGAUUAGAUACCCUGGUAGUCCGCACGGUAAACGAUGGGAUGCCCGCUGU
This 622-nucleotide ribosomal RNA is filed under the name uncultured bacterium. RNAcentral describes it as "bacterial SSU rRNA". It matches the Rfam family "Bacterial small subunit ribosomal RNA", at positions 202 to 823 of the family's 1533-position model. The record is from RNAcentral.